This 1353-nucleotide ribosomal RNA is filed under the name uncultured bacterium. Its description in RNAcentral is "bacterial SSU rRNA". It matches the Rfam family "Bacterial small subunit ribosomal RNA", at positions 28 to 1381 of the family's 1533-position model. The record is from RNAcentral.
GAUGAACGCUAGCGGCAGGCUUAACACAUGCAAGUCGAGGGGCAGCGAGAUGUAGCAAUACAUUGUCGGCGACCGGCGUAAGGGUGCGUAACACGUGAGUAACUUGCCCGUAACAGGGGGAUAAGCGAUGGAAACGUCGUCUAAUACCCCAUAAUAAUUGUUAUCGCAUGAUGAUGAUUUGAAAAUUCCGAUGGUUACGGAUAGACUCGCGUUACAUUAGCUAGUUGGUGAGGUAACGGCUCACCAAGGCGACGAUGUAUAGGGGUUCUGAGAGGAAGAUCCCCCACACUGGAACUGAGACACGGUCCAGACUCCUACGGGAGGCAGCAGUGAGGAAUAUUGGACAAUGGAGGGAACUCUGAUCCAGCCAUGCCGCGUGAAGGACUAAGGCCCUAUGGGUCGUAAACUUCUUUUGACGCAGAGCAAUAAGAGAUACGAGUAUUUUGAUGAGAGUAUGCGUCGAAUAAGCAUCGGCUAACUCCGUGCCAGCAGCCGCGGUAAUACGGAGGAUGCGAGCGUUAUCCGGAUUUAUUGGGUUUAAAGGGUGCGUAGGCGGUUGUGCAAGUCAGUGGUGAAAUACGAACGCUCAACGUUCGGGCUGCCAUUGAAACUGUACGGCUAGAGUUCGGAUGCCGUGGGAGGAAUGAGUAGUGUAGCGGUGAAAUGCAUAGAUAUUACUCAGAACACCGAUUGCGAAAGCAUCUCACGAAUGCGAAACUGACGCUGAUGCACGAAAGCGUGGGGAUCAAACAGGAUUAGAUACCCUGGUAGUCCACGCUGUAAACGAUGAUAACUAACUGCCGGCGAUAAACGGUCGGUGGCCAAGCGAAAGCGAUAAGUUAUCCACCUGGGGAGUACGACCGCAAGGUUGAAACUCAAAGGAAUUGACGGGGGCCCGCACAAGCGGAGGAACAUGUGGUUUAAUUCGAUGAUACGCGAGGAACCUUACCCAGGCUCGAACGGCAUAUGAAUAUUGCAGAGAUGUGAUAGUCUUCGGACAUAUGUCGAGGUGCUGCAUGGUUGUCGUCAGCUCGUGCCGUGAGGUGUCGGCUUAAGUGCCAUAACGAGCGCAACCCUUGUCGUUAGUUACCAUCAAGUAAAGUUGGGGACUCUAACGAGACUGCCACCGCAAGGUGUGAGGAAGGGGGGGAUGACGUCAAAUCAGCACGGCCCUUACGUCUGGGGCGACACACGUGUUACAAUGGUAGGUACAGAGGGCAGCUAUUGAGUGAUCAAGUGCAAAUCUCAAAAACCUAUCUCAGUUCGGACUGGAGUCUGCAACCCGACUCCACGAAGCUGGAUUCGCUAGUAAUCGCGCAUCAGCCAUGGCGCGGUGAAUACGUUCCCGGGCCU